GGACAAAACUCUGAAAAAGCUGUUAUUAAGACAGUACCAAAGGUGAAAGAUAUUUAAUAUCGAAACUCUCAGGUAAAAAAACAGAGGAUAUGUG
Molecule: non-coding RNA, 94 nt
Filed under: Clostridium autoethanogenum
Lineage: Bacteria; Bacillati; Bacillota; Clostridia; Eubacteriales; Clostridiaceae
Description: Glycine sequence
Rfam family: Glycine riboswitch aptamer
About the family: This family represents the bacterial glycine riboswitch.
Source: RNAcentral